UACGUAGGGUGCAAGCGUUAAUCGGAAUUACUGGGCGUAAAGCGUGCGCAGGCGGUUCGGCAAGAAGGAUGUGAAAUCCCGGGGCUUAACCUCGGAACUGCAUUCUUAACUGCCGGGCUAGAGUAUGUCAGAGGGGGGUAGAAUUCCACGUGUAGCAGUGAAAUGCGUAGAGAUGUGGAGGAAUACCGAUGGCGAAGGCAGCCCCCUGGGAUAAUACUGACGCUCAGACACGAAAGCGUGGGGAGCAAACAGG
RNAcentral lists this ribosomal RNA (253 nucleotides) under uncultured bacterium. RNAcentral's name for it is "partial 16S ribosomal RNA". It matches the Rfam family "Bacterial small subunit ribosomal RNA", at positions 524 to 776 of the family's 1533-position model. The record is from RNAcentral.